RNAcentral lists this ribosomal RNA (262 nucleotides) under uncultured bacterium. Its description in RNAcentral is "partial 16S ribosomal RNA". It matches the Rfam family "Bacterial small subunit ribosomal RNA", at positions 524 to 784 of the family's 1533-position model. The record is from RNAcentral.
UACGAAGGGGGCUAGCGUUGCUCGGAAUUACUGGGCGUAAAGCGCACGUAGGCGGCUUUCUAAGUCGGGGGUGAAAUCCUGGAGCUCAACUCCAGAACUGCCUUCGAUACUGGAAGCUCGAGUCCGGGAGAGGUGAGUGGAACUGCGAGUGUAGAGGUGAAAUUCGUAGAUAUUCGCAAGAACACCAGUGGCGAAGGCGGCUCACUGGCCCGGUACUGACGCUGAGGUGCGAAAGCGUGGGGGAAGCAACAGGGAUUAAGAA